Long non-coding RNA from Oncorhynchus tshawytscha (Chinook salmon), 361 nucleotides. NCBI's taxonomy places the organism in Eukaryota, Metazoa, Chordata, Actinopteri, Salmoniformes, Salmonidae. The record is from Ensembl.
GCAGAAAGUUGUUUCAGAUUAAUGAAACAAUGUGAAUGUCAACCCCAGGGGAGUCAGGGGGGAAUGAGGUGUUUUGGAGGUGAGUCACCGUAGAGAUGUCAACCUCAGGGGAGUCAGGGGGGAAUGAGGUGUUUUGGAGGUGUGUCACCGUAGAGAUGUCAACCUCAGGGGAGUCAGGGGCGAAUGAGGUGUUUUGGAGGUGAGUCACCGUAGAGAUGUCAACCUCAGGGGAGUCAGUGGGGAAUGAGGUGUUUUGGAGGUGAGUCACCGUAGAGAUGUCAACCUCAGGGGAGUCAGGGGGGAAUGAGGUGUUUUGGAGGUGAGUCACCAUAGAGAUGUCAACCCCAGGGGAGUCAGGGGG